ACACGGCGCGGGAUGGACGCGCAGGACUGCCAGGCGGCGGCAACGCCCGAGCCGCCCGGGCCCCCAGCCCGUGGCUGCGUGGCCGCCUGGUGGGACAUGGUCGACCGCAACCUGCGGCACACAGUCCCCAGCUGCCGGGGGGAAGAUGCCAAGGGGAAGGACCGUUGCUGGUAUGAAGCAGCCCUUCGCGAUGGGAACCCAAUUAUUGUUUAUCUUCAUGGCAGUGCAGAACACAGGGCAGCUUCUCACAGACUGAAGCUGGUAAAGGUGCUGAGUGAUGGUGGCUUUCAUGUCUUGUCUGUUGACUACAGAGGAUUUGGGGACUCUACGGGUAAGCCCACAGAGGAGGGACUGACUACGGAUGCCAUUAGUGUCUAUGAGUGGACCAGGGCAAGAAGUGGCAUCACUCCCGUGUGUCUCUGGGGCCACUCUCUGGGUACAGGAGUUGCAACAAAUGCUGCAAAAGUGCUAGAAGAAAAAGGAUGCCCAGUUGAUGCUAUUGUCUUGGAAGCUCCAUUUACCAACAUGUGGGUUGCAAGUAUCAAUUAUCCCUUGUUAAAGAGUCUCUCUCUGUCGCCCAGGCUAGAGUGCAGUGGCUUGAUCUCGGCUCACUGCAAGCUCUGCCUCCCAGGUUCACACCAUUUUCCUGGCUCAGCCUGCCGAGUAGCUGGGACUACAGGCACCCGCCACCAUACCUGGCUAAUUUUUCUGUGUUUGUAGUAGAGACACGGUUUCACUGUGUUAGGCAGGAUGAUCUUGAUCUCCUGACCUUGUGAUCUGCCCACCUCUGUCUCCCAAAGUGCUGGGAUUACAGGUGUGAGCCACCGCGCCCAGCUGAUAAAGAGAUGUUUCUAAAUUUCAGGUGGACCAUUUACCAAUAUUUUUCUUUAUGGUAACUUUUGUGUCAUUUAUAAUAAAACUCUGUUUACCCAAAUAUUAUCAAGAUAUUCUUCUAUGUUGUCUUCUGGAAACUAUUUUACCUUUUACAUGUAAAGCUAUAAUCCACAGGUUUAGAUUUUUGUAUGGAGGCAGGGGUCCACAUGAAUGUCUAAUUGGUCUAGAGCCAUUUAUUAAAUGGACCUUCCCCACCACUAUGCAGUGCUAAUGUUUGCACAUAUCAGUGUCUAUAUAUAGAGAGAGAGGUCUGGUGGUAGGUUCUCAUUUCUCUUCAUUGUCUGUCAAUCUUAAUAUACUAUGGCCUUUUAAUUACUAUAGCUUUAUAAUAUGUCUUGAUAUCUGGUUGUAUAAGUUCCUUAGCUUGGUCUUCUUAUUCAAGAUUGUCUUGGCUAUUCUUAAUGCUUUGCCUUUCGGUAUACAUUUUGAAAUACACUUGUCACGUUCUACACAAAACUUGCUGGGACUUUGGGAUUGCAUUGGAUCUAUUUGGGGGACUUGAGAUCAAUUUGAAGGACUUGGUAUCUUUCUAACAUUGAGUCUUCAAAUUCAUGAGUAUUGUAUUUUAUUUAUUAUUUAUUUAUUUAAUUUUACAUUUAUUUCUCAUUUAGGUUUUGUUUAGUUUCAGUUUUAGGUCAUAUUCUCCUAGAAGCAAAGCCCAAGACAGAGAUUUGGUGUGUUUGAUUUAUUGAGGAAAUGUUCUUCAGGAAAAAAUCCAAAAGGGAAUGAGAGUAGUAGCACUGGAAAGGGGGAAGAGCAGAACAAGGAUGUGACCUCAAGCAAAGUCUGGCUUUGGCCUGAUUCAGGCGGAGUGCUAAGCUUUGAGGCAAAGUGCUAAGCUUUGAGGGCCUGUUGUUUCUGCCAUCCCCUAGGGUAGGCAGUGGAGGAGGAGCAGGAGGAUGACAUAACCUUUUAUGAGUGAUGGCUUUUGUCAUCUAAGAAUAAGGAGAAGCAGCCAACACUCCAGCGGAAGUCAAUUAAUUUUGUUAGUCUUUUCAAAGAACCAACUUUGACUUUGUUCGUCUUCUGUGUUAUGUGGUUUCUAUAUUUUUAAUUUCUGGUUUUACCUGUAUUAUUCCCUUUCUCAUAUGUUCUUUGGAUUUAAUUUGUUGUUAUUUAAACAUUUCUUUAGAUAGUACUGAAUACCAUCUAAUAAUUUAUUUUUACUAUUUUUUUUCUAAUUUAUGUACUACGGCAUACUUCACCUAAACCACACUUCAGCUGCAUCCAAAUUUUGAAGUGUGUUCUAAUUAUCAUUUAGUUCAAAAUAUUUUAUAAUAUUAUUGUAAUUUCCUCCUUGACUAUAUGGAUUAUUUAGAAGUAUGAUUCAUAACUUCUAUGCAUUUGGGCAUUUGAUUAUGAUUUUUAUUGAUUUUUACCUUAAUUCUCUCAAGAUCCAAGAAUAUACUGUGUAUGAUUUUAGUCUUUUGAAAUUUGUUGAGACUCACUUUAUGUACUAAUGUAUGGUCAAUUUUGGCAAAUUUUCCAUAUGCUUGAAAAGAAUGUGUUCUGCUGUUUUCAAUGCAGUGUUCUAUGUAUGUCAAUUGAAUUGGGAUUAUUAACCAUGCUCAA
Molecule: small RNA, 2466 nt
Filed under: Pongo abelii (Sumatran orangutan)
Lineage: Eukaryota; Metazoa; Chordata; Mammalia; Primates; Hominidae
Description: processed transcript
Source: RNAcentral